AGUAACAGUUUGCAUGUUUUGUUUGAGAGAGACAGAGAGCAUGGCUGUAACUCUCGAUUUUAGUCAUUAAAUGCAUGAGAGACGACGAAUUACUAAUGACUUCAUUAACAAAAAGUCGUUUUGCUGCCUUAGAGGUCAGCGAUGAUGACAGCGAAGGAGAACUCCAGGGGGUCAGUGAUGAGGCACGAAGGAAAUGCGAUGACAGCAAAAAUGCUAGAAAAACAAAGAAGAAAUGCAAGAAGAAGAAAAGGAGCAGACAGAAAAGUAACGAGUCAUCUGAAACUGCUGUAAUGAAUAGGGUGGAUUCAGGUGGUAAAGAAGCAUCUGUACAAAGUGGAGAUUGGGAUGAAUGGAAGCAAAAAGAUGAACAGUUUGUACUUGGUCAAUUCCAAAGGGACCUAAAGGAAGCUUUGGAAGCAAGUAAACAAGAUGCUUGGCAUGCUAAACAAAAGCAAGAAUUGAUGAAAACAAUGACAAUUAGCCAUGAAGAUGAUGAGAGGAAGAAGGAAAAGCCUGUUGUGAUGUCAUUUAAUGAGUUUCAACCCAUGAGAUCCACAACGGGGAUAAAUUCACCAAAGCUUGAAGAAUCUUCCAAAACAGGACUUGAUAAUUUUCCUGCCUGGCCUAAUGGUUUUCCUGUAGGUACAAGGGGAAGUACAAGACAUUCAAAAGGAAUUGCUGUUAAUGAAGUGCAGGUUAAGAGCGACAGUGAGAAGAAUGAUAAACCUGGGAAGUCAGCCUUACUCUCAAACAGAUCCAAUAAUGGAGGUAGAAUUCCAGACCACUCUACACAAAUGUUAACAGAAAAAAAACUACUCCCAGCUGCCCAUGAAGACCAGUUACGUGCAGAAAUGGUUCACAUUAAAGAAAAGCUUUUCAAAUCAAAUCUUGAACUCAGUGAGCUUAAGAAAAUGAGGACUGAACAUAUCACAAUGAUUGAAGAUCUAAAAAAAGAAUUGCUUCAAGUGAAAAAGAGAAAUAAGCAAUUGUGUUUCAUCCUCAGCCAAGCAGAAAUGAAAGAAAAGUCUGAGUUGCUGACUGAAAUUGAAGAAUUGAAUGAAGUGAAAGAACAGGUACAAGACUAAGUGGUGCAGUUACAUGCUGAAUUAGAACAAGAGAGAUCUAAGAAUUCUGCUUUGAAAAGUGAAAUAGCUAAGCCCGUAUGGGGAAGACAAA
RNAcentral lists this unclassified non-coding RNA (1176 nucleotides) under Pocillopora damicornis (cauliflower coral). RNAcentral describes it as "g kinase-anchoring protein 1-like, transcript variant X1". The record is from RNAcentral. Lineage: Eukaryota; Metazoa; Cnidaria; Anthozoa; Scleractinia; Pocilloporidae.